AUGGUGAAAUGGUGGUGGAAAUUGGAGACCCAAAGUGGAUUAUGGCAGGAUAUUGUGCGAGCUAGAUAUGUUGUAAACAAAACUAUUGCUGGGGUUAGAGUCAGAUUCUCUGAUUCACCAUGCUGGAAAGCCCUCUUAAAGGUGAAAGAGGUUUAUAUGGUGGGGAGAAAAGUUAAUAUUGAGUCUGGUAAUAUUGCCCGGGUGUGGGUGGAUCCCAUCAAUGGGCUCCCUCCGUUUCGGGAGCAAUUCCCACAUCUUUUCUCGAUAUGCAAUGACCCUGAAUGCACGGUGAGUAAAGUGAAUCAUAUGGACACUAACAAUUUUUUCAGACGAGGGCUUAAUGCUGAGCUAUCU
RNAcentral lists this ribosomal RNA (354 nucleotides) under Triticum aestivum (bread wheat). RNAcentral's name for it is "partial small subunit ribosomal RNA". The record is from RNAcentral. Lineage: Eukaryota; Viridiplantae; Streptophyta; Magnoliopsida; Poales; Poaceae.